Long non-coding RNA from Coturnix japonica (Japanese quail), 1759 nucleotides. The record is from Ensembl. Lineage: Eukaryota; Metazoa; Chordata; Aves; Galliformes; Phasianidae.
AUGUCCACCUGGACCCAGAACAGAGCCCACAGUGUCAGUGGUGGAACUGUGACAAGGGUGUCAGGGAAGGGUCUCUGGAAAACCCUAUGCGUCACCAGAAAGCAGCAGGAGAAAAGUGUUCGAAGUUGCCAAAGGGAAAAAGGAGAAAUUACUGUGAAAGAUUCAUUCACAGCACACACGUGUAAGAGUGUGUUCAUCCAGAUAUUUCCCCUAAACCAUGGCAAAUGUCUCCAUUUCUUUCAGUGUUCCCCUGUCCCUGCUGAGAAAUCCUGGGCCCAGCAGGUCCUAUUAGGAGCCACUAGCUGGGGGAUUCCUGCAUCUCAGAGCAGUCUCCAUGGAGACUCAAAGUGGGGUGACAUCCGACAAACCGACAGCAAUAGAAAACUGCACCGGCACCAUCAGAGGAUCAGAGGGUGCUGUGCUCAGCUGCGUGCCACCAGGGAUGAUUUAGUUUAUCUGGGUGUAAAUCAGAUGUGACUCAUCAGCAGACACUGCACAGUCAAACGUGCAGAAAACUCAGAUCGGCACUGAAUGAGAGCCUGAAACACAGCUCGUUAUUUAAAGAGAAUUAUGAGAAUGCCAUGAGUUUCAAGAAGAUCAACACCACUGAGGAAGUGAAAGCCAAGAGUUAUAGAUGUAACGAUAGGAGGCCCUGAAGAUUUAUUAACUGUUUUGUUUAGACUUACUAAAAAGGAAUGACACCCAUUAUAGUGUAUCACAGGAGUGAGCUAUCUAACAGCCCUGUGGCUAUGACUGCAGUGGAGUUCUGUGAUAAGGUGAGGAGACUGUGACUUUCCUGUGAUGAAGCAUUCAGUAAAACAGAAGUUCUUGCUUUGUAAAUUAUUUAUUCAAUUCAAGAGUUUUAUCAAACAAAUGUUGUCCUACAAAUAAGUACCUCUGAGGGCAAAACAGCCCAUUCUCACAAGACAUGUAUACUUGUGCAUGUCUGAGAUGUUUCUGGGCUUUUCAUGUCAACUCUAAGCAAUCCACAGCUGUGUUGUUUCAGGAAGAUGCCCUCUGGCUCCAUGGGCUCGCCACCUCCUGAGCUGCAGUGGCAUUUGCUAUUCUGAACAUGGUGAUACUUGAAGAUUUGUACUGGUUUGGAGGACACAGGCAAGUGAUGCUACUUCGGCAAUUCCUCCUGCAGAUGGAGUUCCCACAUCUCCCUGAGUUAUUCAGCUGUGUCCCUCUAACUAAUUGCUUCUGGAAUCCAAACUGGCUUUCUCUUCAGUUAAAAUACAGCAUUAUGUUGAACCAGGAUAAUUGAAAUGUGACUGGGAUUGGCUGCCUUUUUUGGAAAAUAGUUUUCAGCUAUCCCUCUGAUACAACAAUGGGAGAGUAUCAGAUUAGAAGACCUGUCUCACACCAUGAUUUCUAGCAUUGUCCCAUGAGCAUGCUCAGUCCUUUGUGAGUACAUCUUUUAUUGUCGUUUGGGUGAGCUUUGUUGCAGCUUAAUAUUAUUGAAAGUUAAAGGACAGAUUGGAGACUGAUUAUAAGGGUAUGGUGUACCAUGGGAAAAGCCUAGUAAUACAAAUGCUUUGCCUGAGAUUCAAUGACUUCGUGUUCUGCAAAAGCUACUGCUGACAUCCCUUGCGUUUUUAUUGAUCUUAUAGAUUCAGUACCAGGAUACUUAGAGUUUAGCUUUGCUUUGGGGACUUGUUUAUUUUACCUGAAUUUGCUCAAAAUGCAACAGAUUAAAGUGACCUGACAGAUUUUUGAAUGCUGGCCUUGGAAAAAUAAAUAAAAAGUUUAUCAUUCA